This 497-nucleotide ribosomal RNA is filed under the name uncultured bacterium. RNAcentral's name for it is "partial 16S ribosomal RNA". It matches the Rfam family "Bacterial small subunit ribosomal RNA", at positions 28 to 507 of the family's 1533-position model. The record is from RNAcentral.
GAUGAACGCUGGCGGUGUGCCUAAUACAUGCAAGUCGAGCGAACAGACGAGGAGCUUACUCCUCUGACGUUAGCGGCGGACGGGUGAGUAACACGUGGAUAACCUACCUAUAAGACUGGGAUAACUUCGGGAAACCGGAGCUAAUACCGGAUAACAUGUUGAACCGCAUGGUUCAACAGUGAAAGACGGUCUUGCUGUCACUUAUAGAUGGAUCCGCGUCGCAUUAGCUAGUUGGUAAGGUAACGGCUUACCAAGGCAACGAUGCGUAGCCGACCUGAGAGGGUGAUCGGCCACACUGGAACUGAGACACGGUCCAGACUCCUACGGGAGGCAGCAGUGGGGAAUCUUCCGCAAUGGGCGAAAGCCUGACGGAGCAACGCCGCGUGAGUGAAGAAGGUCUUCGGAUCGUAAAACUCUGUUAUUAGGGAAGAACAAAUGUGUAAGUAACUAUGCACGUCUUGACGGUACCUAAUCAGAAAGCCACGGCUAACUACGUG